GUGCACCAGGCGCGAAACUUCACACUGUGCGAAAGCACGAUGAGGGAAUCCCAAGUGCUUGCACGUAAGUGUAAGCUGUUUCUCUGUCUAAAACGCAGAGAGAGUAAGGGCUGGGUAAGACGGGUGCCAGCCGCCGCGGUAAUACCUGCAGCUCAAGUGGUGACCGUUAUUAUUGGGCCUAAAACGUCCGUAGCCGGUUUAAUAAAUGCCUGGGUAAAUUGUGUAGCUUAACUAUACGAAUUCCGGGUAGACUGUUAAACUUGAGACCGGGAGAAGUUAGAGGUACUCCUGGGGUAGAGGUGAAAUUCUGUAAUCCUAGGGGGACCACCAGUGGCGAAGGCGUCUAACUAGAACGGGUCUGACGGUGAGGGACGAAGCCCUGGGGCGCAAACGGGAUUAGAUACCUGGGUAGU
This 413-nucleotide ribosomal RNA is filed under the name uncultured microorganism. Its description in RNAcentral is "bacterial SSU rRNA". It matches the Rfam family "Archaeal small subunit ribosomal RNA", at positions 330 to 745 of the family's 1478-position model. The record is from RNAcentral.